GAUGAACGCUGGCGGCGUGCUUAACACAUGCAAGUCGAACGGAAAGGCCACAGCUUGCUGUGGUACUCGAGUGGCGAACGGGUGCGUAACACGUGGGUGAUCUGCCCUGUACUUCCGGAUAAGCUUGGGAAACUGGGUCUACUAUCGGACAGGAUUCACAUGUCGGUGUGUGGCUGGAAAGCUUUUGCGGUAUGGGGUGAGCUUGCGGCCUAUGAGCUUGUUGGUGGGGUAACGGCCGACCAAGGCGUCGACGGAUAGCCGGCCUGAGAAGGGGUACGGCCACAUGAGGACUAAGGGACGGAGCAGACUCGAACGGGGGGCAGCGGUGGGGAAUAUUGCACAAUGGGCGCGAGCGUGAUACGAAGGCGUCGGGUGGGGGAUGACGGCCUUCGGGUUGUAAACACCUUUCGUCAAGGACGAAGCGAAAGUGACGGUACCUGGAGAAGAAGCACCGGCUAACUACGUG
This 466-nucleotide ribosomal RNA is filed under the name uncultured bacterium. RNAcentral describes it as "partial 16S ribosomal RNA". It matches the Rfam family "Bacterial small subunit ribosomal RNA", at positions 28 to 507 of the family's 1533-position model. The record is from RNAcentral.